GAUGAACGCUAGCGGCAGGCUUAAUACAUGCAAGUCGAGGGGCAGCAGGGUGGUAGCAAUACCAUCGCUGGCGACCGGCAAACGGGUGCGGAACACGUACGCAACUUACCCUGAACUGGGGAAUAGCCCGGGGAAACCCGGAUUAAUACCCCGUAAGAUAAUGAAGUGGCAUCACUUUACUAUUAUAGUCUUUCGGAUGGUUCAGGAUGGGCGUGCGGCUGAUUAGGUAGUUGGUAUGGGUAACGGCCUACCAAGCCUUCGAUCAGUAACUGGUGUGAGAGCACGACCAGUCACACGGGCACUGAGACACGGGCCCGGACUCCUACGGGAGGCAGCAGUAAGGAAUAUUGGUCAAUGGACGCAAGUCUGAACCAGCCAUGCCGCGUGGAGGAUGAAGGUCCUCUGGGAUUGUAAACUUCUUUUACAGGGGAAGAAACUCCCGCAUUCCUGCGGGAUUGACGGUACCCUGCGAAUAAGCACCGGCUAACUCCGUGCCAGCAG
This 501-nucleotide ribosomal RNA is filed under the name uncultured bacterium. Its description in RNAcentral is "bacterial SSU rRNA". It matches the Rfam family "Bacterial small subunit ribosomal RNA", at positions 28 to 514 of the family's 1533-position model. The record is from RNAcentral.